AGUAGGGCCUGCCCACUGAGUAUUUAAAGGGCCGCAGUAUCUUAACUGUGCAAAGGUAGCAUAAUCAUUAGUUUUUUAAUUGAAAGCUGGAAUGAAUGGUUUGAUGAAAAAAUUUCUGUUUCAUAUUUAAUUAUUUAAAAUUUUAUUUUUAAGUUAAAAAGCUUAAAUAUUUUUAAAAGACGAGAAGACCCUAUAGAGUUUAAUUAACUAGUAAUUUUUAAAAAAAGAAUUAAAAUUUAAUAAUUAUAAAAUUAAUUUAAUUGGGGUGAUUGAAAAAUUAAAAAAACUUUUUUUAUAAAUUUACAUUAAUUUAUGAUUAAUUGAUCCAUAAAAAUGAUUAUAAGAUA
This 347-nucleotide ribosomal RNA is filed under the name Scymnus longmenicus. Its description in RNAcentral is "partial 16S ribosomal RNA". The record is from RNAcentral. Lineage: Eukaryota; Metazoa; Arthropoda; Insecta; Coleoptera; Coccinellidae.